Long non-coding RNA from Equus caballus (horse), 544 nucleotides. RefSeq lists it as uncharacterized. The record is from RefSeq and is a predicted model, not a curated record. Lineage: Eukaryota; Metazoa; Chordata; Mammalia; Perissodactyla; Equidae.
GGGAAGGGAGGGGAAGGCACGUAACCUGCCGCGCUGGCGACCGGCCGUCCCUCGUUGCCUCGGCCCCGGGCCCCCUCCCCGGUCAGCGCCGUUGGGUGGGGCCUGUUGGGGGCCGCCGCCUGGUCCACCUUCCGCAGUCCAGCCCGGCGUGAACACGUGCUCAUCCCCUGGGGAGGCCCGGGGGCCGCCCGGAGGACUGGACGAGCCGGGAAAGGAAGGCCUCCCCGAGAACGGUGCCUUCAGAUGGACCUGGAGAGAGACGGAUUUAGCCAUCCUCUGAGUCUUACGGGUUUUCCAGAUUUCCUUUCAACAUCUCUCAUUUCCAGCCGUCUCUCAAACAUGGAAGUACGUUUCUCAUCGAAAGGUGGUGAUGAAGCGUGAACCCUGCAGUUAGGCAGAUUGUGUAGUUUUGAGUGCAGCUCUGUUCCGAAUCUGUGGGCAUUGGCAAAUGGAACUCACCUGUAAUGAUAGCCGCUUAAAUACAGUUGUGUGAUGAUUAAGUAAUAAAUAAGUGAAUAGCACAGGGCUUUGAAGUUAAAAUCAA